AUCUAUAGCCAUACUACCCUCAACCUACCUGAUCUCAGAAGCAAAGCAGGGUCAGGCCUAGUUAGUGCUUGGACAGGAGCAGUUU
This 85-nucleotide ribosomal RNA is filed under the name Piliocolobus tephrosceles (Ugandan red Colobus). Lineage: Eukaryota; Metazoa; Chordata; Mammalia; Primates; Cercopithecidae. The record is from RNAcentral.